GGGUUGUGAGGUUAAGCGACUAAGCGUACACGGUGGAUGCCCUGGCAGUCAGAGGCGAUGAAGGACGUGCUAAUCUGCGAUAAGCGUCGGUAAGGUGAUAUGAACCGUUAUAACCGGCGAUUUCCGAAUGGGGAAACCCAGUGUGAUUCGUCACACUAUCAUUAACUGAAUCCAUAGGUUAAUGAGGCGAACCGGGGGAACUGAAACAUCUAAGUACCCCGAGGAAAAGAAAUCAACCGAGAUUCCCCCAGUAGCGGCGAGCGAACGGGGAGCAGCCCAGAGCCUGAAUCAGUGUGUGUGUUAGUGGAAGCGUCUGGAAAGGCGCGCGAUACAGGGUGACAGCCCCGUACACAAAAAUGCACAUGCUGUGAGCUCGAUGAGUAGGGCGGGACACGUGGUAUCCUGUCUGAAUAUGGGGGGACCAUCCUCCAAGGCUAAAUACUCCUGACUGACCGAUAGUGAACCAGUACCGUGAGGGAAAGGCGAAAAGAACCCCGGCGAGGGGAGUGAAAAAGAACCUGAAACCGUGUACGUACAAGCAGUGGGAGCCUCUUUAUGGGGUGACUGCGUACCUUUUGUAUAAUGGGUCAGCGACUUAUAUUCUGUAGCAAGGUUAACCGAAUAGGGGAGCCGAAGGGAAACCGAGUCUUAACUGGGCGUUAAGUUGCAGGGUAUAGACCCGAAACCCGGUGAUCUAGCCAUGGGCAGGUUGAAGGUUGGGUAACACUAACUGGAGGACCGAACCGACUAAUGUUGAAAAAUUAGCGGAUGACUUGUGGCUGGGGGUGAAAGGCCAAUCAAACCGGGAGAUAGCUGGUUCUCCCCGAAAGCUAUUUAGGUAGCGCCUCGUGAAUUCAUCUCCGGGGGUAGAGCACUGUUUCGGCAAGGGGGUCAUCCCGACUUACCAACCCGAUGCAAACUGCGAAUACCGGAGAAUGUUAUCACGGGAGACACACGGCGGGUGCUAACGUCCGUCGUGAAGAGGGAAACAACCCAGACCGCCAGCUAAGGUCCCAAAGUCAUGGUUAAGUGGGAAACGAUGUGGGAAGGCCCAGACAGCCAGGAUGUUGGCUUAGAAGCAGCCAUCAUUUAAAGAAAGCGUAAUAGCUCACUGGUCGAGUCGGCCUGCGCGGAAGAUGUAACGGGGCUAAACCAUGCACCGAAGCUGCGGCAGCGACACUGUGUGUUGUUGGGUAGGGGAGCGUUCUGUAAGCCUGUGAAGGUGUACUGUGAGGUAUGCUGGAGGUAUCAGAAGUGCGAAUGCUGACAUAAGUAACGAUAAAGCGGGUGAAAAGCCCGCUCGCCGGAAGACCAAGGGUUCCUGUCCAACGUUAAUCGGGGCAGGGUGAGUCGACCCCUAAGGCGAGGCCGAAAGGCGUAGUCGAUGGGAAACAGGUUAAUAUUCCUGUACUUGGUGUUACUGCGAAGGGGGGACGGAGAAGGCUAUGUUGGCCGGGCGACGGUUGUCCCGGUUUAAGCGUGUAGGCUGGUUUUCCAGGCAAAUCCGGAAAAUCAAGGCUGAGGCGUGAUGACGAGGCACUACGGUGCUGAAGCAACAAAUGCCCUGCUUCCAGGAAAAGCCUCUAAGCAUCAGGUAACAUCAAAUCGUACCCCAAACCGACACAGGUGGUCAGGUAGAGAAUACCAAGGCGCUUGAGAGAACUCGGGUGAAGGAACUAGGCAAAAUGGUGCCGUAACUUCGGGAGAAGGCACGCUGAUAUGUAGGUGAAGCGACUUGCUCGUGGAGCUGAAAUCAGUCGAAGAUACCAGCUGGCUGCAACUGUUUAUUAAAAACACAGCACUGUGCAAACACGAAAGUGGACGUAUACGGUGUGACGCCUGCCCGGUGCCGGAAGGUUAAUUGAUGGGGUUAGCGCAAGCGAAGCUCUUGAUCGAAGCCCCGGUAAACGGCGGCCGUAACUAUAACGGUCCUAAGGUAGCGAAAUUCCUUGUCGGGUAAGUUCCGACCUGCACGAAUGGCGUAAUGAUGGCCAGGCUGUCUCCACCCGAGACUCAGUGAAAUUGAACUCGCUGUGAAGAUGCAGUGUACCCGCGGCAAGACGGAAAGACCCCGUGAACCUUUACUAUAGCUUGACACUGAACAUUGAGCCUUGAUGUGUAGGAUAGGUGGGAGGCUUUGAAGUGUGGACGCCAGUCUGCAUGGAGCCGACCUUGAAAUACCACCCUUUAAUGUUUGAUGUUCUAACGUGGACCCGUAAUCCGGGUUGCGGACAGUGUCUGGUGGGUAGUUUGACUGGGGCGGUCUCCUCCUAAAGAGUAACGGAGGAGCACGAAGGUUGGCUAAUCCUGGUCGGACAUCAGGAGGUUAGUGCAAUGGCAUAAGCCAGCUUGACUGCGAGCGUGACGGCGCGAGCAGGUGCGAAAGCAGGUCAUAGUGAUCCGGUGGUUCUGAAUGGAAGGGCCAUCGCUCAACGGAUAAAAGGUACUCCGGGGAUAACAGGCUGAUACCGCCCAAGAGUUCAUAUCGACGGCGGUGUUUGGCACCUCGAUGUCGGCUCAUCACAUCCUGGGGCUGAAGUAGGUCCCAAGGGUAUGGCUGUUCGCCAUUUAAAGUGGUACGCGAGCUGGGUUUAGAACGUCGUGAGACAGUUCGGUCCCUAUCUGCCGUGGGCGCUGGAGAACUGAGGGGGGCUGCUCCUAGUACGAGAGGACCGGAGUGGACGCAUCACUGGUGUUCGGGUUGUCAUGCCAAUGGCACUGCCCGGUAGCUAAAUGCGGAAGAGAUAAGUGCUGAAAGCAUCUAAGCACGAAACUUGCCCCGAGAUGAGUUCUCCCUGACUCCUUGAGAGUCCUGAAGGAACGUUGAAGACGACGACGUUGAUAGGCCGGGUGUGUAAGCGCAGCGAUGCGUUGAGCUAACCGGUACUAAUGAACCGUGAGGCUUAACCUUACAACGCCGAAG
RNAcentral lists this ribosomal RNA (2923 nucleotides) under Escherichia sp. E5028. RNAcentral's name for it is "23S ribosomal RNA". It matches the Rfam family "Bacterial large subunit ribosomal RNA". Lineage: Bacteria; Pseudomonadati; Pseudomonadota; Gammaproteobacteria; Enterobacterales; Enterobacteriaceae. The record is from RNAcentral.